RNAcentral lists this ribosomal RNA (253 nucleotides) under uncultured bacterium. RNAcentral describes it as "partial 16S ribosomal RNA". It matches the Rfam family "Bacterial small subunit ribosomal RNA", at positions 524 to 776 of the family's 1533-position model. The record is from RNAcentral.
UACGUAGGGUGCAAGCGUUAAUCGGAAUUACUGGGCGUAAAGCGUGCGCAGGCGGUUCGCUAAGACCGAUGUGAAAUCCCCGGGCUUAACCUGGGAACUGCAUUGGUGACUGGCGGGCUAGAGUAUGGCAGAGGGGGGUAGAAUUCCACGUGUAGCAGUGAAAUGCGUAGAGAUGUGGAGGAAUACCGAUGGCGAAGGCAGCCCCCUGGGCCAAUACUGACGCUCAUGCACGAGAGCGUGGGGAGCAAACAGG